RNAcentral lists this ribosomal RNA (460 nucleotides) under uncultured bacterium. Its description in RNAcentral is "partial 16S ribosomal RNA". It matches the Rfam family "Bacterial small subunit ribosomal RNA", at positions 338 to 795 of the family's 1533-position model. The record is from RNAcentral.
CCUACGGGAGGCUGCAGUGAGGAAUAUUGGUCAAUGGGCGCGAGCCUGAACCAGCCAAGUAGCGUGAAGGAUGACUGCCCUACGGGUUGUAAACUUCUUUUAUAAAGGAAUAAAGUGAGGCACGUGUGCCUUUUUGUAGGUACUUUAUGAAUAAGGAUCGGCUAACUCCGUGCCAGCAGCCGGCGUAAUACGGAGGAUCCGUGUGUUAUCCGGAUUUAGUGGGGUUAAAGGGAGCGUAGAUGGGUUGUUAAGUAAGUUGUGAAAGUUUGCGGCUCAACCGUAAAAUUGCAAUUGAUACUGGCAGUCUUGAGUACAGUUGAGGUAGGCGGAAUUCGUGGUGUAGCGGUGAAAUGCUUAGAUAUCACGAAGAACUCCGAUUGCGAAGGCAGCUUACUAAACUGCCACUGACAUUGAUGCUCGAAAGUGUGGGUAUCAAACAGGAUUAGAUACCCGGGUAGUC